Molecule: non-coding RNA, 29 nt
Filed under: Homo sapiens (human)
Lineage: Eukaryota; Metazoa; Chordata; Mammalia; Primates; Hominidae
Source: RNAcentral
UGAGGAGUCAGGAAUUCUAUGCCUCCAAU